RNAcentral lists this ribosomal RNA (474 nucleotides) under uncultured bacterium. Its description in RNAcentral is "bacterial SSU rRNA". It matches the Rfam family "Bacterial small subunit ribosomal RNA", at positions 335 to 801 of the family's 1533-position model. The record is from RNAcentral.
ACUCCUACGGGAGGCAGCAGUAGGGAAUCUUCCACAAUGGGCGCAAGCCUGAUGGAGCAACACCGCGUGAGUGAAGAAGGGUUUCGGCUCGUAAAGCUCUGUUGUUAAAGAAGAACACGUAUGAGAGUAACUGUUCAUACGUUGACGGUAUUUAACCAGAAAGUCACGGCUAACUACGUGCCAGCAGCCGCGGUAAUACGUAGGUGGCAAGCGUUAUCCGGAUUUAUUGGGCGUAAAGAGAGUGCAGGCGGUUUUCUAAGUCUGAUGUGAAAGCCUUCGGCUUAACCGGAGAAGUGCAUCGGAAACUGGAUAACUUGAGUGCAGAAGAGGGUAGUGGAACUCCGAUGUGUAGCGGUGGAAUGCGUAGAUAUAUGGAAGAACACCAGUGGCGAAGGCGGCUACCUGGUCUGCAACUGACGCUGAGACUCGAAAGCAUGGGUAGCGAACAGGAUUAGAUACCCUGGUAGGAUAGCG